GCGCCUGUAGCUCAGUUGGUCAGAGCGGGCCGCUCAUAACGGCUUGGUCGCAGGUUCGAGCCCUGCCGGGCGCA
This 74-nucleotide transfer RNA is filed under the name Rhodovastum atsumiense. It matches the Rfam family "tRNA". Rfam says of the family: Transfer RNA (tRNA) molecules are approximately 80 nucleotides in length. Their secondary structure includes four short double-helical elements and three loops (D, anti-codon, and T loops). The record is from Rfam by way of RNAcentral. Lineage: Bacteria; Pseudomonadati; Pseudomonadota; Alphaproteobacteria; Acetobacterales; Acetobacteraceae. RNAcentral also lists the same sequence under 3 other names.